This 301-nucleotide ribosomal RNA is filed under the name uncultured bacterium. Its description in RNAcentral is "partial 16S ribosomal RNA". It matches the Rfam family "Bacterial small subunit ribosomal RNA", at positions 509 to 807 of the family's 1533-position model. The record is from RNAcentral.
CAGCCGCCGCGGUAAUACGAAGGGGGCUAGCGUUGUUCGGAAUUACUGGGCGUAAAGCGCACGUAGGCGGAUAUUUAAGUCAGGGGUGAAAUCCCGCAGCUCAACUGCGGAACUGCCUUUGAUACUGGGUAUCUUGAGUAUGGAAGAGGUUAGUGGAAUUGCGAGUGUAGAGGUGAAAUUCGUAGAUAUUCGCAGGAACACCAGUGGCGAAGGCGGCUAACUGGUCCAUAACUGACGCUGAGGUGCGAAAGCGUGGGGAGCAAACAGGAUUAGAUACCCGAGUAGUCCCUGUCUCUUAUAC